GGCUGGGGGGCCAGCGGGACCGGAGGGUGGGGAGGGGCGCGGGCCGCCGGGCUGGCCACGCCGGGGCCUCGGCCCGGAGUCCACAAGCUCAGGCUCCCGGGGACCCGACUCAUGAAGGCGGAAACUGGGACGCAGAGAGGGGAACUGGCCAAGGUCACACGGGAGCUCGCGGCCGGCGUGGUGACGUCUGACAGUCCUGGGACAUGAGGCAGGAGCAGGUGCGGGCUGUCCCCCAUGUCCCGGAAUCCGGGAGUCGGAGAGAACCCUAAGAUCAUCUUGCUCCACAGCUCCAUUUUCAGAAGAGGAAAUGGGCUCAGAGGUCACUUAGCCGGUGCAGGGGUCACUAAUGCCACUGACCAGGCGUUUCCGGCUCUCAGCCUCUGACAGGGCAGGACUGCCUGUCCUUGCUCUGAUGCCUGUGGCCACGGGACUUCUCUGACCAAUGAAACGUGGGCAAAAUGGACGCGUAUCACUUCUCGUGGAAGCUUUACGAGCCACUGGCCCCCCACAGUUUCAUGUUGUUUGUAGAGCGUGAGAAAUAAACUUCUAUCAUGUGAAGUCACUGAAGUUACGGGCUUAUCUGUGACCUUGGCGUGGCCCGCCCUACCUAACGGACGUAGUUGGUAAGGGGCAGGGCCAGGAUUCAGAGCUCUGGUCUGUAAAGAUGCCCAAGGGCCUCCCAGGACUCUCCCUGUCUGUCCAGUGUCUCCUCUACUGGCUCCCCCUCUGGGUUCUGAUCUCCUGGGCUGCGUGGAGCCCUGUGGGGCGGGAAGAAGUGGGCAGGCAGCGUCUCUGCCUGCAUCCAUCUCCAUCUCCACGACUUGACUACGAUUUUGCCGGGUUCUCAGAUUGCUGGGAUUGGCUAGACGAGCAUGGGUUCAUGUGAUCCCUGUGAGGACUUGGGGUCUUCUGGUCAGCUGUGACUCCCAGGGUCCUCGGGGGACCCUCUGAGAAGUAAUUAGAAAAUUGCAAGGGCCUGCCAGUGGCACUGCCCGUCGCCUGCCUAGGAAGCCGUUCUCAAACAGAGUGUUAGCACACACUCCUGGUAACCCCCAGCUCAGACUGAUCCUCUUCAAGUCACUCAUUCCCUUGGGACUCACUUCCCCCUCCGUCGAAUAGAGCCACUACAGUGGGCUGGUAACCGCCCCGAGAUCCUGGGGGAAGCCAAUAUUGGAUCAUAGCGAUCUUCUCAGAGGCACGUGCAAAGAAUUAACAGCUACCAUUUCUGACCGUUGUGCUAAAUGCUGCAGGUCCAUGCUGGCAUGGGGUGCGCAGAACACCCUAGGAGGUAGGAACAAUUAUCGUCUCCACAAAACAAAGACACCAAGAGUGGCCCAAGGUCACACCAUGGGCGGUGGAGCAGGGUUCAAACCCAAGCAAGCAGAUUUCUGGUUUCAACCUGUGUUGGAAGGAAAAGGAUGGAUCUGGGCUGGGGCAGCUGCUUUGCAGGGCCACACACAGACGAGUAUGAGUCAUGGCACAGCCCCAAAGUGGAAACCAGUGGCAUGUCCAUCCACAGAAGAAGGGACGGCCUGUGGUACAUCAAGCAAUGGAAUACGAUUCAGCCAUAAAAAGGAAGGAACUGUCAACAUAUGACACAGCAUGGAUGGACCACAAACUGAUGAUGCUGAGUGAAAGGACCCAGACCAAAAAUGCACACGCUGAAUAAUUCCAUUGACGUAGAGUCUAGAAAAUGCAAACCGACCUGUGGUGUCAGACAGCAGAUCAGCGGUUGCCUGGUGGUCAUGGGAGAGGGAGGCAGGGGCACCACACAGACUUGGGGGGCAGAGCAGGGGUUGCUAACAGGCACCAAGAAAAUGUUUUGUGGGGUGGAUGUAUCUG
This 1842-nucleotide long non-coding RNA is filed under the name Equus asinus (donkey). RNAcentral describes it as "lncRNA (ENSEASG00005023959.1)". The record is from RNAcentral. Lineage: Eukaryota; Metazoa; Chordata; Mammalia; Perissodactyla; Equidae.